CCUGGACUGCACGUUUUUGAAAGAAAGUUAAUUUACAUUAUUUAAUGGUAAGCAAUUCAACUAGGUUCAGGUAUUAACUUCUCAAGGCAUAGUAUAAACUCUUUCUGGAUUAUAGUUCUCUAAAAGAAGGAGAUGAAACAAAAUAAAAUAGCAAUUAGAGGGCUUAAAAGAUUAUUAUUUUGCUGCUUCUAUUCUUGAUGUUUUCUAUUGUAAAAGUUCGUUUUUGAGGAAUGCCCUUUAUUUUCUUUAUCUUGUUGAGAUUUCCUUCGACAUGAUUGUUGUGACGAGCUUAACUGUUCUAGAUUGUGCUGAUAUAAUAGAGUUGGUUAAGAAAAGUACAAGGGUGGGACAGCGCCCCUGCGGGGACCACAGUGCUGCCCGAAGGACAUGGCUGCAGAUUUUGAUUCAGACUGAUACUGGGGAAUGUUUGCCGGUGACCUAUCCUGAUGCUCCAGAAGCUGAAAGAAAUGGACAGCAUAUAUUUACAACGAAGACUAGUUGCAGAUGGGCAAUAUGCACCAUUUUGGGCGUGCAGAAGUGGAAGAAUAUGAAAGAAAGGGGAGAAUGAGUCCAAGGCUCGUUCUUUCAGGCAUGCUUCUUUGUGUUAUA
This 609-nucleotide long non-coding RNA is filed under the name Olea europaea (common olive). RNAcentral's name for it is "long non-coding RNA (OEUR_LNC011202)". The record is from RNAcentral. Lineage: Eukaryota; Viridiplantae; Streptophyta; Magnoliopsida; Lamiales; Oleaceae.